CUUAUACUCCCUCUGUCCCAAAAUUCUUGUCUUAGAUUUGUCAAGAUACGGAUGUAUCUAACAACAUUUUAGUGUUAGAUACAUCCGUAUCUUGACAACUCUAAUACAAGAAUUUUGGGACGGAGGGAGUAUCUU
Triticum aestivum (bread wheat) is the source of this 135-nucleotide non-coding RNA. NCBI's taxonomy places the organism in Eukaryota, Viridiplantae, Streptophyta, Magnoliopsida, Poales, Poaceae. The record is from Rfam.